CCUACGGGAGGCAGCAGUGGGGAAUUUUGGACAAUGGGCGAAAGCCUGAUCCAGCAAUGCCGCGUGUGGGAAGAAGGCCUUCGGGUUGUAAACCACUUUUGUACGGAACGAAACGGUCCGCUUUAAUACAGUGGGCUAAUGACGGUACCGUAAGAAUAAGCACCGGCUAACUACGUGCCAGCAGCCGCGGUAAUACGUAGGGUGCGAGCGUUAAUCGGAAUUACUGGGCGUAAAGCGUGCGCAGGCGGUUAUAUAAGACAGUUGUGAAAUCCCCGGGCUCAACCUGGGAAUUGCAUCUGUGACUGUAUAGCUAGAGUACGGUAGAGGGGGAUGGAAUUCCGCGUGUAGCAGUGAAAUGCGUAGAUAUGCGGAGGAACACCGAUGGCGAAGGCAAUUCCCUGGACCUGUACUGACGCUCAUGCACGAAAGCGUGGGGAGCAAACAGGAUUAGAUACCCUGGUAGUCCACGCCCUAAACGAUGUCAACUGGUUGUUGGGUGCAUUAGUACUCAGUAACGAAGCUAACGCGUGAAGUUGACCGCCUGGGGAGUACGGCCGCAAGGUUGAAACUCAAAGGAUUGACGG
RNAcentral lists this ribosomal RNA (584 nucleotides) under uncultured bacterium. RNAcentral's name for it is "bacterial SSU rRNA". It matches the Rfam family "Bacterial small subunit ribosomal RNA", at positions 338 to 916 of the family's 1533-position model. The record is from RNAcentral.